RNAcentral lists this long non-coding RNA (655 nucleotides) under Pelobates cultripes (western spadefoot toad). The record is from RNAcentral. Lineage: Eukaryota; Metazoa; Chordata; Amphibia; Anura; Pelobatidae.
CUUCCAUUAAGGGUAUACGUUGCUUGUGCAUUCUUUACCCCGAAGUGCAUAACUUUGCAUUUUUCAACAUUACAUUUCAUCUGCCAUUUGAGUGCCCAGUCUCCCAGUAUAUCUAAAUCCCUCUGCAGCAAAGUAAUAUCUUGCUCACAUUGUGUUACUUUACAGAGUUUUGUGUCAUCUGCAAACACUGAAACAUGACUUUCAAUGCUUUUUUCACGAUCGUUUAUAAACAUGUUAAAUAGAAGGGGUCCCAGAAUAGAACCCUGAGGGACACCACUUGCCACCUCUGUCCAGCUUGAAAAUCUACCAUUAAUGACAACUCUUUGUACUCUAUUUUUAAGACCAUGUUCUACCCAAGAACAAGCAUUUUCAUCUAGACCGAUUUCCUUGAGUUUGAACACUAAUCUAUUGUGUGGAACUGUAUCAAAUGCCUUGGCAAAAUCCAAAUAGAUCACAUCCAUUGCAACAUCCUGAUCUACUUACUUCUUCAUAGAACGCAAUCAAGUUCGUUUGACAUGACCUGUGCUUCAUAAAACCAUGCUGAUUUUUGCUGAUAACCAUGUUCUUCUCGAGGAAUUCGUGAAUAUUAUCCCUUAAUAACCUUUCAAAUAUUUUCCCAGCCACAGAAGUUAAGCUCACAGGUCUAUAAUUUCCA